AAGUCCCGCAACGAGCGCAACCCCUAUCUCUAGUUGCCAGCGAUUCGGUCGGGGACUCUAGAGAUACUGCCCCGGUUUAACGGGGAGGAAGGUGGGGAUGACGUCAAGUCCUCAUGGCCUUUAUGCCCAGGGCUACACACGUGCUACAAUGGAUGGUACAAAGAGCAGCCAGCUCGCGAGAGUCAGCGAAUCUCAAAAAGCCAUCCUCAGUUCGGAUUGAAGUCUGCAACUCGACUUCAUGAAGCCGGAAUCGCUAGUAAUCGCGGAUCAGCAUGCCGCGGUCGAAUACGUUCCGGGCCUU
RNAcentral lists this ribosomal RNA (301 nucleotides) under uncultured Syntrophus sp. RNAcentral describes it as "bacterial SSU rRNA". It matches the Rfam family "Bacterial small subunit ribosomal RNA", at positions 1082 to 1382 of the family's 1533-position model. Lineage: Bacteria; Pseudomonadati; Thermodesulfobacteriota; Syntrophia; Syntrophales; Syntrophaceae. The record is from RNAcentral.